UGCCAAUGAUGCAUUUAUCUGCACAUAAUAUCAGACAUAUCAAUGAUGAUAUAUGCAAUUGUCACUACCUCUGAGGCA
Small nucleolar RNA from Cornus florida, 78 nucleotides. RefSeq annotates it as small nucleolar RNA snoR122. The record is from RefSeq and is a predicted model, not a curated record. NCBI's taxonomy places the organism in Eukaryota, Viridiplantae, Streptophyta, Magnoliopsida, Cornales, Cornaceae. The transcript has a single exon.